AGGUGGGAGGAUUGCUUGAGCCUGGGAGGUGGAGGUUGCAGUGAGCCAAGAUCGCACCACUGCGCUCCAGCCUGGGUGACAGAGUGAGACCUUGUCUC
Molecule: microRNA precursor, 98 nt
Filed under: Cercocebus atys (sooty mangabey)
Lineage: Eukaryota; Metazoa; Chordata; Mammalia; Primates; Cercopithecidae
Description: miRNA (ENSCATG00000018255.1)
Source: RNAcentral